This 63-nucleotide transfer RNA is filed under the name Caudoviricetes sp. RNAcentral's name for it is "tRNA-OTHER". It matches the Rfam family "tRNA", at positions 15 to 71 of the family's 71-position model. From Rfam's summary of the family: Transfer RNA (tRNA) molecules are approximately 80 nucleotides in length. Lineage: Duplodnaviria; Heunggongvirae; Uroviricota; Caudoviricetes. The record is from RNAcentral.
GCAUGUGUUGGCAUCGGUCUCCAAAACCGAGUGUCGUGAGUUCGAAUCUUACUGCCCCUGCCA